GCUGAUUCUAUUUUGCAUACGUUGCUCAUAAUAUUCUCUCAGAGAAGACUUUUCCGUAUGUACUUUAAAUAGAUUUAAAAGUACGGUUAAAUCCGUUUAAUCUUUUAAUAGUUGCCCUUCGAUCGGGAACUUCCUUUUUCCCAAAUGGCUAUCUUAUAAUGGAAACACGAGAUUGUCUUCGUUGAACGGUAAAAUAGAGGAGGAUUACUUUGCAUUUGGUCGAUAGCUUCGUGUUCAGAGAAAGAAGCGCAUACCAUGGACGUGCACGAGAAGUGGAAUUCAAGCAUUUGCCUUCGGAAAGAUUUGGGAUCCAAUAUUCCCUCUUUCAAGCAAAUCCAGCACUGGCAAAAAAUAAAAAGAAAAGAUCGUUUUUCACCAAAAAACGUAUUUGCUGAAUGGGAUGGACUUUGAACCGACGUUAUUCAAAAAUAACAUUUUUAUCGCUCUGUUUACUUUCUAUUUUUGCUGUAUCGUUCGAAAUGAAAUCGAGAGAUGAAAUUUGAGAUACAAUUUCUACAAUAUCGGCCUUUCAAUUAUAAUUAAAAACUUCCACGAUUACGAAAUUUAACAACAAUAGAGGGACUAAAAUAAAUAUUAGUAAUUACUCCAGAGAAAAAACACUGAAUCAGACUGGGGAAGGACCAGCAGAAUUAAAAGCAAUAAUGGAGAAGAGAAGGGCAAUAAAAGACGGGGAGGAACGACAAGAAGGAAGCACGGCAAGCAGGCGAAAGCCCAAAAGUUGCAAUAGCUUUUAGUCAUUAGUUUUUAGUUGUUAGAGAUAGAAUAACUUAAGGGAGUGCAAUACAAUAGAGUGGAUAAGGAGGGAGGUAGAGUAUAUAAGAAGCGAAAUAGAUAUAAGAGAUGUAAAACGGAAAGUUCGUCCAAAGCCGAAAGGCACGGACUAAGUAACAAUAAAUAAAAUAAAUAAUAUUAAUUACUCGAAAUAAAAAAUUGUAAUAAAGCUGAUGAAACUUU
Molecule: long non-coding RNA, 975 nt
Organism: Bombus pyrosoma
Lineage: Eukaryota; Metazoa; Arthropoda; Insecta; Hymenoptera; Apidae
Exons: 2
Source: RefSeq, a predicted model, not a curated record